AAAGGCCCCUUUUCUUCUCACUUUCAAGUUUCAAGUCUCAACACCCAUAAUCACCCAACCACAAUCGGAGCGGCGAAACUCAGCCACCCAAAACCCUUUACACGGCGGUGAUUUCCUUCAUAAGGCGGGGCUUCCCUUGUCACGGAAAGAGUGCAAAAUCGAGUUUGAAGGUUAUGAAUAUUGGGUUCUAAUUUUCCAUCUUGAGAAUGGGUGGCUAAAUUACUUAGAAUCAUCGUUCAUUGUAGUGCACAAGAAGGCUACCCUCACUAAUCUCGAAAAUGGCGUCAAAGAGCUGUGUAUGAUAUAAGCCAUGUCGACAAGAACUGGCCAACAGAUUCAUUUGAUGUGGCCAGUGGCAACUUUUCAAGAUCAUGGGACGGCCUUGAUGUUACUUUUAAAAUUGCCGGCUUCUAAUUCACGACAAAGAGUAGAUUGACGAAGUAAGAACUCAGUGGGUACGCCAUGUUGUUUAACAACUGUAUAUUAGCUAGGAUAUUAGCUAGGUUACGUGAGAAGGAACCAAUAAAUGUAUAGCUCUAUAAUGUACAGCUUUAUAAUUAAUUUAUGUUGCGUAGUUUAAUGUUUUUGUUCUUAUUUUAGAGAAAAUUUAUGUAAUCAGUUUAUUAGGGUGACAAUUGCAAAUCAUUGAAGCUUGAAAAUUAAUAUAAAAUUAUUUACUAUACUUUUCAAUA
Long non-coding RNA from Spinacia oleracea (spinach), 692 nucleotides. RefSeq lists it as uncharacterized. The record is from RefSeq and is a predicted model, not a curated record. Lineage: Eukaryota; Viridiplantae; Streptophyta; Magnoliopsida; Caryophyllales; Amaranthaceae. The transcript has 4 exons.